AAGGCCUUAUGUUAAAAAAACAAAUAGCCUUCAAAGCUAUAAAUAAGGCAAGCAGCCUUAGGCCUUA
Molecule: transfer RNA, 67 nt
Filed under: Vestalis melania
Lineage: Eukaryota; Metazoa; Arthropoda; Insecta; Odonata; Calopterygidae
Description: tRNA-Trp
Source: RNAcentral